GUGCCAGCAGCCGCGGUAAUACGUAGGGUGCAAGCGUUAAUCGGAAUUACUGGGCGUAAAGCGUGCGCAGGCGGUUUUGUAAGUCUGUCGUGAAAGCCCCGGGCUUAACCUGGGAAUUGCGAUGGAGACUGCAAGGCUUGAAUCUGGCAGAGGGGGGUAGAAUUCCACGUGUAGCAGUGAAAUGCGUAGAGAUGUGGAGGAACACCGAUGGCGAAGGCAGCCCCCUGGGUCAAGAUUGACGCUCAUGCACGAAAGCGUGGGGAGCAAACAGGAUUAGA
Molecule: ribosomal RNA, 278 nt
Filed under: uncultured Burkholderiales bacterium
Lineage: Bacteria; Pseudomonadati; Pseudomonadota; Betaproteobacteria; Burkholderiales
Description: partial 16S ribosomal RNA
Rfam family: Bacterial small subunit ribosomal RNA
Source: RNAcentral